UACGUAAGGACCGAGCGUUGUCCGGAAUCAUUGGGCGUAAAGGGUACGUAGGCGGCUAGAAAAGUUAGAAGUCAAAGGCUAUAGCUCAACUAUAGUAAGCUUCUAAAACUAUUUAGCUUGAGAAAUGGAAGGGAAAGUGGAAUUCCUAGUAUAGCGGUGGAAUGCGCAGAUAUUAGGAAGAAUACCGGUGGCGAAGGCGACUUUCUGGCCAUUAUCUGACGCUGAGGUACGAAAGCGUGGGUAGCAAACAGGAUUAGAAACCCGCGAGUCC
Molecule: ribosomal RNA, 271 nt
Filed under: uncultured Anaerococcus sp.
Lineage: Bacteria; Bacillati; Bacillota; Tissierellia; Tissierellales; Peptoniphilaceae
Description: partial 16S ribosomal RNA
Rfam family: Bacterial small subunit ribosomal RNA
Source: RNAcentral